AGUGAACGCUGGCGGUAGGCCUAACACAUGCAAGUCGAACGGCAGCACAGUAAGAGCUUGCUCUUACGGGUGGCGAGUGGCGGACGGGUGAGUAAUACAUCGGAAUCUACUUUUUCGUGGGGGAUAACGUAGGGAAACUUACGCUAAUACCGCAUACGACCUACGGUUGAAAGCAGGGGAUCUUCGGACCUUGCGCGAUUGAAUGAGCCGAUGUCGGAUUAGCUAGUUGGCGGGGUAAAGGCCCACCAAGGCGACGAUCCGUAGCUGGUCUGAGAGGAUGAUCAGACACACUGGAACUGAGACACGGUCCAGACUCCUACGGGAGGCAGCAGUGGGGAAUAUUGGACAAUGGGCGCAAGCCUGAUCCAGCCAUACCGCGUGGGUGAAGAAGGCAUUCGGGUUGUAAAGCCCUUUUGUUGGGAAAGAAAAGCAGCAGGUUAAUACCCCGCUGUUCUGAAGGUACCCAAAGAAUAAGCACCGGCUAACUUCGUG
Molecule: ribosomal RNA, 492 nt
Filed under: uncultured bacterium
Lineage: Bacteria
Description: partial 16S ribosomal RNA
Rfam family: Bacterial small subunit ribosomal RNA
Source: RNAcentral